This 329-nucleotide ribosomal RNA is filed under the name uncultured Geobacillus sp. RNAcentral's name for it is "bacterial SSU rRNA". It matches the Rfam family "Bacterial small subunit ribosomal RNA", at positions 1051 to 1382 of the family's 1533-position model. Lineage: Bacteria; Bacillati; Bacillota; Bacilli; Caryophanales; Anoxybacillaceae. The record is from RNAcentral.
GUCGUCAGCUCGUGUCGUGAGAUGUUGGGUUAAGUCCCGCAACGAGCGCAACCCUCGCCUCUAGUUGCCAGCAUUCGGUUGGGCACUCUAGAGGGACUGCCGGCGACAAGUCGGAGAAGUGGGAUGACGUCAAAUCAUCAUGCCCCUUAUGACCUGGGCUACACACGUGCUACAAUGGGCGGUACAAAGGGCUGCGAACCCGCGAGGGGGAGCGAAUCCCAAAAAGCCGCUCUCAGUUCGGAUUGCAGGCUGCAACUCGCCUGCAUGAAGCCGGAAUCGCUAGUAAUCGCAGAUCAGCAACGCUGCGGUGAAUACCGUUCCCGGGGCUU